UGGGGAAUAUUGCACAAUGGGCGCAAGCCUGAUGCAGCCAUGCCGCGUGUAUGAAGAAGGCCUUCGGGUUGUAAAGUACUUUCAGCGGGGAGGAAGGGAGUAAAGUUAAUACCUUUGCUCAUUGACGUUACCCGCAGAAGAAGCACCGGCUAACUCCGUGCCAGCAGCCGCGGUAAUACGGAGGGUGCAAGCGUUAAUCGGAAUUACUGGGCGUAAAGCGCACGCAGGCGGUUUGUUAAGUCAGAUGUGAAAUCCUCGGGCUUAACCCGGGAAUUGCAUCUGAUACUGGUCAGCUAGAGUCUUGUAGAGGGGGGUAGAAUUCCAUGUGUAGCGGUGAAAUGCGUAGAGAUGUGGAGGAAUACCGGUGGCGAAGGCGGCCCCCUGGACAAAGACUGACGCUCAGGUGCGAAAGCGUGGGGAGCAAACAGG
This 429-nucleotide ribosomal RNA is filed under the name Chloroflexota bacterium. RNAcentral describes it as "Chloroflexi bacterium partial 16S ribosomal RNA". It matches the Rfam family "Bacterial small subunit ribosomal RNA", at positions 355 to 776 of the family's 1533-position model. Lineage: Bacteria; Bacillati; Chloroflexota. The record is from RNAcentral.